UAUUUUGAUAAAAAUGCUGAUAGGGUUUUAUCUGUAGAAUGAAGGCAGAUGUGAAAGGCUUUUUUAAAUGUAUUUAUUUUUUUGUCUGUUUCAGCCAAUCGUCCACCUCCUCCUGUGGAGAACAUUACACCCCCAGAGGAAACCAUGUUUCUUCCAGAAGCCUGAAAAACAGAAACAGACAAACACAAAGAUACGACACCACUGUGGUGGGUCUCUUCUCCAUCAACGAUGAGAACCACCACAGACACGAGGUCCACGAUCUGACACAGUGAUGCUCCAGGAACAAAAUCAUACUGAAGACCAAAGAGGUGAUAGUGGACUACAUGAGGUCAAGGAAGACUGGACACACUCUUCUCUGCAAACAGGGGGAGGUGGUGUUCCGUGUGGAUAAUAUAAAGGUCCUAGCCAUUCACAUAUUUUCUUUAGUUCUGUUAUCAUCUAAUGUAGAAAGUACUCCUGGGUCAAUGUGAGCUUCUGAGCUUUCUGUGUCUCUGCUCUGUCUCCUCUAAG
This is a long non-coding RNA of Fundulus heteroclitus (mummichog), 510 nucleotides long. RefSeq lists it as uncharacterized. NCBI's taxonomy places the organism in Eukaryota, Metazoa, Chordata, Actinopteri, Cyprinodontiformes, Fundulidae. The record is from RefSeq and is a predicted model, not a curated record. The transcript has 3 exons.